UUGCAGAUGCUGGGUGGCAGGUAAAUGAUGAAACUCAGUGAUGCUUGGAGACUAAAUAUCUUUCCCAGCAGGCUUCUACUGUUUCUCUGCUCAACAGCCAGCUACUGUAUCUUUUGCCUGGAAGUGACUUGCUUAGAACUGACAAUUCCAAUGGUCCUGAAGAUCGACAUGCUGGGACCACCUCACAUGAGCAGCAGUUGUGAAAACCUGGCUCUUCCAUCCACCAUGAAAGUCAUUCCAGCCAGCCCGAUCAAUCAACAGCAAAUCACCCAGGAGGACCAGGAUGGCUCUGAAAAAACCACCAUGGGUUGACAUAAUCAGAUGCUGCUGUAAUGUGUC
Long non-coding RNA from Alligator sinensis (Chinese alligator), 339 nucleotides. RefSeq lists it as uncharacterized. The record is from RefSeq and is a predicted model, not a curated record. The transcript has 3 exons. NCBI's taxonomy places the organism in Eukaryota, Metazoa, Chordata, Crocodylia, Alligatoridae.